Pan troglodytes (chimpanzee) is the source of this 64-nucleotide non-coding RNA. It matches the Rfam family "U7 small nuclear RNA". From Rfam's summary of the family: Animal histone pre-mRNAs are spliced by a different mechanism than nuclear pre-mRNAs and self-splicing introns. This processing involves the U7 snRNP, which contains only one RNA species: U7. The record is from Rfam. NCBI's taxonomy places the organism in Eukaryota, Metazoa, Chordata, Mammalia, Primates, Hominidae.
CAGUGUUACAGCUCUUUUAGAAUUUGUCUAGUAGGCUUUCUGGUUUGUUUACUGGAAAGCCCCU